AAUUUCAAAAAUUGCUUUAGGUAAAAUUUUUUAUAAUCCAGAUAUGCCAUUAAUUAA
This 57-nucleotide small RNA is filed under the name Staphylococcus aureus. RNAcentral describes it as "HMPRFS0000_2679". The record is from RNAcentral. Lineage: Bacteria; Bacillati; Bacillota; Bacilli; Caryophanales; Staphylococcaceae.